GUAAAAAAAAAUAAACAUGUUAGAUAUCUUGCAAAAAUGCUUUUGAUGAUGCAAUACAUAUGCAGCAAAAAAAAGGAAAACAUUCAUCCAUAGCAACACUCAAGAAUUAUUCACAACCAUUAUUCACUAAAUACUAUUAUUUUAAUAAUUAGUUGGCACAUAAAAGGUGGGAUUCAUUUUUAAAUAAUGUUACAAAUCACCAACAAGUAAACCUUAGCAAAUAUUCAUAUAUAGACAGUUGUUAUAAUAACCGACAAUUAAGUUCUCAAAAAAAAUACCAAGUGACAAGCAAUUGAGACAUCAUGAGUAUAAAACAAAGAUACAACACGAUAUGCAAAAAUUUCUGCAAGAGAGAGAGAGAUAGAGAGAACAGCAUUAGAGCCGGCUGACAGUGUUCUUAAGAUGGAUCAAUAGCACAACAAGAAGCUAUAAGAGUUAAAAAAUGAAUGUUACUGGAAGCAUAUCAAUUUAUCUAUCUAUUUUUUUCCUGAAAUUUUCUCCUCAUAGAUUAAUCAGAAGAAUUCACUUCAGCCAUAUAUAAAACUUUAGCAUUAAAAAAAUAAUAUUAUAGAGUAUAUUGACCCUAUUAUGACCAACUAAAAAAUCUCUUAGAAAAAUAACAUGGAACAAGUGUCUACUGUCUACAUGUAAAACAAUCAUAAGCUUAGAAACAAUUAUAAAAAAAAAAUCAAAUACAAUCACAAACUUAGAAACAAUUAUUAAAAAAAAUAAAAUACAACAAAUUCAUAAAGGCUAGAUUCAAAAGAGCUUCAUGAGUAAUAAAAAACACAGAUAUGAAAAUCCAAAAUUGACUUUCUAAUAUCAGAUUUUAAAUUUAAACUAAAUACUAGAAAAAUAACUCAUAUAUGGAGUACUAUCUUAUGUUACCACUGUGAAAGUGAUCAAGACAAAUUUCAGGCACAACAAGAUCAAAUACCAUUAUCGAUUACUCUUUAAUUUGGAGUUUUCUAAAUAAUUCUCGGUUCUUUAUUGUUAUCAUGCUAUUGAAUAAAGAAUUUGUUGUUGAUUAAGGUUAACUUAAAACUUCUAUGGUACAUAAGUUAAUAUUAUUAUCUUGAUUCAUCAGAAAACAACACACAAAUAAAUUAUUAUGAGUAAUGACAUCCACUUCAAUACUUAGUGACCUUGGUCUUUAUCGGAUUAAGCUAAUGAACAAGGUUCCUUUGUUUACAUUGAAAAACCAUAUAAACAUAGCAAUAAGGAAAAAUCACUACAGUUGAUAAACUAAUCACAAUAAUAGUUAAGAAAAUUCACCAAGAUGGUACACUAAUUAAAUAAUUUAUACACUAGUCUAUUCACCGAGUAAAACCCCCAAUUGGUUUAGAAACGUUUUCUGAGUGGCGACUUUAGUCUUUUAUUGUUGUUUUUCAACCAUUAUUCCCUAAAUUUCAAAUUAUUAUAAAGAUUAGCAAUUAAACGUGCAAAAGAGAAAGUUUAGUCCCCAAUCAAAUUUUACAAAAUAGUACUCAUCUGUCUCACAAUGUGAACAUCUAGGAACUAAAAGCUAAUAAACCAAAACUAAAGAAUAAAGUUGCCACUGGGGAAAAAAA
Molecule: non-coding RNA, 1571 nt
Organism: Arachis ipaensis
Lineage: Eukaryota; Viridiplantae; Streptophyta; Magnoliopsida; Fabales; Fabaceae
Source: RefSeq, a predicted model, not a curated record